GAUGAACGCUGGCGGCGUGCCUAAUACAUGCAAGUCGAGCGAACGGACGAGAAGCUUGCUUUUCUGAUGUUAGCGGCGGACGGGUGAGUAACACGUGGAUAAUCUACCUAUAAUACUGGGAUAAUCUCGGGAAACCGGAGCUAAUACCGGAUAAUAUCUUGAACCGCAUGGUUCAAAAGUGAAAGACGGUCUUGCUGUCACUUAUAGAUGGAUCCGCGCUGCAUUAGCUAGUUGGUAAGGUAACGGCUUACCAAGGGAACGAUGCAUAGCCGAGCUGAGAGAGUGGUCGGCCACACUGGAACUGAAACGCGGUCCAGGCUCCUGCGGGAGGCAGCAGUAGGGUAUCUUCCGCAAUGGGCGAAAACCUGACGCAGCAGCGCCGCGUGAGUGAUGAAGGUCUUCGGAUCGUAAAACUCUGUUAUGAGGGGAAAACAUAUGUGUAAGUAACUGUGCACAUCUUGACGGUACCUAAUCAGAAAGCCACGGCUAACUACGUG
This 497-nucleotide ribosomal RNA is filed under the name uncultured bacterium. RNAcentral's name for it is "partial 16S ribosomal RNA". It matches the Rfam family "Bacterial small subunit ribosomal RNA", at positions 28 to 507 of the family's 1533-position model. The record is from RNAcentral.